Molecule: transfer RNA, 55 nt
Filed under: Parabathippus shelfordi
Lineage: Eukaryota; Metazoa; Arthropoda; Arachnida; Araneae; Salticidae
Description: tRNA-Asp
Source: RNAcentral
AGUAAUAUAGUUAAAUUAAUAUUAAUUUGUCAAAUUAAAGAUGAUUUAAUUCCUC